Non-coding RNA from Megalops atlanticus (tarpon), 72 nucleotides. Lineage: Eukaryota; Metazoa; Chordata; Actinopteri; Elopiformes; Megalopidae. The record is from the annotation of a GenBank genome assembly.
GGCUCUUUGGCAUUGUGGUAAAGUUGUAGGUUUGGAACCCCAUAGACCCGGGUUCAAGGCCGGGUGGGGUGA